RNAcentral lists this unclassified non-coding RNA (457 nucleotides) under uncultured fungus. Its description in RNAcentral is "partial contains small subunit ribosomal RNA, internal transcribed spacer 1, and 5.8S ribosomal RNA". The stretch from base 1 to 73 matches the Rfam family "Eukaryotic small subunit ribosomal RNA", at positions 1759 to 1831 of the family's 1831-position model. Lineage: Eukaryota; Fungi. The record is from RNAcentral.
ACAAACUUGGUCAUUUAGAGGAAGUAAAAGUCGUAACAAGGUAACCGUAGGUGAACCUGCGGUUGGAUCAUUACCGAAAGAUAAAGGCGUCUGACGUUCUUUUCGUCGGAUGAUUGCCGAAAGAAAGGCCGGAAAUGGGACUUUGUGGCCCUUUCCGGCUUUUUCGUUAAGAUGUGUCUGCGGCAGAUGCGAUGACGUGUUUACGUCUGCGUCCAUCUUUUCCCAGCAUAAUGGGAUAAAAGGUGAAGGGUGUCAUUGACAUAUCAUCUUGUUGCCGCAGAAAGACCGCCCUGAUACUUUGAGGGACGGUCCUAUAUAUCCUUCUUAGGAAACAGAAUCUCUCUGCCCACCCGGAAUACGGAGAAGCGAGAGAAGAAAUUUGGAGAUUUUGAAAAAUAAAUUCAAAACAACUUUUGACAACGGAUCUCUUGGCUCUCGCAUCGAUGAAGAACGCAGC